GGUUGUGGCUCAGCUGUAGAAAACACUCGCCUAGAACAUGUGAGGUCCUGGGUUCGAUCCUCAGCAUCAAUCA
This 73-nucleotide transfer RNA is filed under the name Marmota monax (woodchuck). Its description in RNAcentral is "tRNA.Ser". The record is from RNAcentral. Lineage: Eukaryota; Metazoa; Chordata; Mammalia; Rodentia; Sciuridae.